CUUGGUGACUUUAGCGAAGGGGGUACACCUGUUCCCAUUCCGAACACAGAAGUUAAGCUUUUCAACGCCGAUGGUAGUGUGAUCUAAUCAUGCAAGAGUAGGUAGUCGCCAAGA
This 114-nucleotide ribosomal RNA is filed under the name Candidatus Peregrinibacteria bacterium. RNAcentral also lists the same sequence under 1 other name. The record is from RNAcentral. Lineage: Bacteria; Candidatus Peregrinibacteriota.